AGGUGUAGCGGUGAAAUGCGUAGAGAUCUGAAGGAAUACCGGUGGCGAAGGCGGCCCCCUGGACAGAUACUGACACUCAGAUGCGAAAGCGUGGGGAGCAAACAGGAUUAGAUACCCUGGUAGUCCACGCCGUAAACGAUGUCUACUUGGAGGUUGUGCCCUAGAGGUGUGGCUUUCGGAGCUAACGCGUUAAGUAGACCGCCUGGGGAGUACGGUCGCAAGAUUAAA
RNAcentral lists this ribosomal RNA (228 nucleotides) under Vibrio cholerae. RNAcentral's name for it is "partial 16S ribosomal RNA". It matches the Rfam family "Bacterial small subunit ribosomal RNA", at positions 671 to 898 of the family's 1533-position model. The record is from RNAcentral. Lineage: Bacteria; Pseudomonadati; Pseudomonadota; Gammaproteobacteria; Vibrionales; Vibrionaceae.